Molecule: ribosomal RNA, 330 nt
Filed under: uncultured bacterium
Lineage: Bacteria
Description: bacterial SSU rRNA
Rfam family: Bacterial small subunit ribosomal RNA
Source: RNAcentral
UUCGUAGGCGGUGUGGCAAGUCGGGAGUGAAAUCUCUAGGCUCAACCUAGAGGCUGCUUCCGAAACUGCUGUGCUUGAGUGUGAGAGAGGCUCGUGGAAUUGCAGGUGUAGCGGUGAAAUGCGUAGAUAUCUGCAGGAACACCCGUGGCGAAAGCGGCGAGCUGGAUCACAACUGACGCUGAGGAACGAAAGCUAGGGGAGCAAACAGGAUUAGAUACCCUGGUAGUCCUAGCCCUAAACGAUCAGGACUUGGGGUGCCGCCCGUUCGGGCGUCGUCCCGGAGCUAACGCGUUAAGUCCUGCACCUGGGGAGUACGGUCGCAAGACUGAA